GCCCUUAGAGUUUGAUCCUGGCUCAGGACGAACGCUGGCGGCGCGCCUAACACAUGCAAGUCGAACGAGUGAGAGAGAGCUUGCUUUCUCGAGCGAGUGGCGAACGGGUGAGUAACGCGUGAGGAACCUGCCUCAAAGAGGGGGACAACAGUUGGAAACGACUGCUAAUACCGCAUAAGCCCACGGUGCCGCAUGGCACAGAGGGAAAAGGAGCAAUCCGCUUUGAGAUGGCCUCGCGUCCGAUUAGCUAGUUGGUGAGGUAACGGCCCACCAAGGCAACGAUCGGUAGCCGGACUGAGAGGUUGAACGGCCACAUUGGGACUGAGACACGGCCCAGACUCCUACGGGAGGCAGCAGUGGGGAAUAUUGCACAAUGGGGGAAACCCUGAUGCAGCGACGCCGCGUGGAGGAAGAAGGUCUUCGGAUUGUAAACUCCUGUUGUUGGGGAAGAUAAUGACGGUACCCAACAAGGAAGGACGGCUACUCUG
Molecule: ribosomal RNA, 488 nt
Filed under: uncultured bacterium
Lineage: Bacteria
Description: bacterial SSU rRNA
Rfam family: Bacterial small subunit ribosomal RNA
Source: RNAcentral